RNAcentral lists this ribosomal RNA (491 nucleotides) under uncultured bacterium. Its description in RNAcentral is "partial 16S ribosomal RNA". It matches the Rfam family "Bacterial small subunit ribosomal RNA", at positions 29 to 507 of the family's 1533-position model. The record is from RNAcentral.
AGUGAACGCUGGCGGUAGGCCUAACACAUGCAAGUCGAACGGCAGCACAGUAAGAGCUUGCUCUUACGGGUGGCGAGUGGCGGACGGGUGAGGAAUACAUCGGAAUCUACUUUUUCGUGGGGGAUAACGUAGGGAAACUUACGCUAAUACCGCAUACGACCUACGGGUGAAAGCAGGGGAUCUUCGGACCUUGCGCGAUUGAAUGAGCCGAUGUCGGAUUAGCUAGUUGGCGGGGUAAAGGCCCACCAAGGCGACGAUCCGUAGCUGGUCUGAGAGGAUGACAAGCCAAACUGGACUGGAGACACGGCCCAGACCCUUACGGGAGGCAGCAGGGGGGAAUAUGGACAAUGGGCGCAAGCCUGAUCCAGCCAUACCGCGUGGGUGAAGAAGGCCUUCGGGUUGUAAAGCCCUUUUGUUGGGAAAGAAAAGCAGCAGGUUAAUACCCCGCUGUUCUGACGGUACCCAAAGAAUAAGCACCGGCUAACUUCGUG